This 253-nucleotide ribosomal RNA is filed under the name uncultured bacterium. RNAcentral's name for it is "partial 16S ribosomal RNA". It matches the Rfam family "Bacterial small subunit ribosomal RNA", at positions 524 to 776 of the family's 1533-position model. The record is from RNAcentral.
UACGUAGGGUGCGAGCGUUAAUCGGAAUUACUGGGCGUAAAGCGUGCGCAGGCGGUUCGUUGUGUCGGCGGUGAAAGCCCCGGGCUCAACCUGGGAAUGGCCGUUGAAACUGGCGAACUGGAGUGUGGCAGAGGGGGGUGGAAUUCCGCGUGUAGCAGUGAAAUGCGUAGAUAUUGGGAGGAACACCAGUGGCGAAGGCGGCUCACUGGACCGGUACUGACGCUGAGGUGCGAAAGCGUGGGGAGCAAACAGG